GACGAACGCUGGCGGCGUGCUUAACACAUGCAAGUCGAACGGAAAGGCCCUGCUUUUGUGGGGUGCUCGAGUGGCGAACGGGUGAGUAACACGUGAGUAACCUGCCCUUGACUUUGGGAUAACUUCAGGAAACUGGGGCUAAUACCGGAUAGGAGCUCCUGCUGCAUGGUGGGGGUUGGAAAGUUUCGGCGGUUGGGGAUGGACUCGCGGCUUAUCAGCUUGUUGGUGGGGUAGUGGCUUACCAAGGCUUUGACGGGUAGCCGGCCUGGGAGGGUGACCGGCCACAAUGGGACUGAGAUACGGCCCAGACGCCUACGGGAGGCAGCAGGGGGGAAUAUUGCACAAUGGGCGGAAGCCUGAUGCAGCAACGCCGCGUGCGGGAUGACGGCCUUCGGGUUGUAAACCGCUUUCGCCUGUGACGAAGCGUGAGUGACGGUAAUGGGUAAAGAAGCACCGGCUAACUACGUG
This 468-nucleotide ribosomal RNA is filed under the name uncultured bacterium. Its description in RNAcentral is "partial 16S ribosomal RNA". It matches the Rfam family "Bacterial small subunit ribosomal RNA", at positions 28 to 507 of the family's 1533-position model. The record is from RNAcentral.